AUAGCGUAUAUUAAAGUUGUUGCAGUUAAAAAGCUCGUAGUUGAACCUUGGGCCUAGCCGGCCGGUCCGCCUCACCGCGUGCACUGGCUCGGCUGGGCCUUUCCUUCUGGAGAACCGCAUGCCCUUCACUGGGUGUGCUGGGGAACCAGGACUUUUACUCUGAACAAAUUAGAUCGCUUAAAGAAGGCCUAUGCUCGAAUACAUUAGCAUGGAAUAAUAGAAUAGGACGUGCGGUUCUAUUUUGUUGGUUUCUAGGACUGCCGUAAUGAUUAAUAGGGAUAGUCGGGGGCAUCCGUAUUCAAUUGUCGGAGGUGAAAUUCUUGGAUUUAUUGAAGACGAACUACUG
This 346-nucleotide ribosomal RNA is filed under the name Chaetomium globosum. RNAcentral describes it as "SSU rRNA". It matches the Rfam family "Eukaryotic small subunit ribosomal RNA", at positions 594 to 945 of the family's 1831-position model. Lineage: Eukaryota; Fungi; Ascomycota; Sordariomycetes; Sordariales; Chaetomiaceae. The record is from RNAcentral.